GGUGGCCUAGUGGUUAGAGCAUCCGCCUCAGAUGUGGGAGGUUGUGGGUUCAAUCCCCAGUAGAGUCA
Potamilus streckersoni is the source of this 68-nucleotide non-coding RNA. The record is from the annotation of a GenBank genome assembly. NCBI's taxonomy places the organism in Eukaryota, Metazoa, Mollusca, Bivalvia, Unionida, Unionidae.